GCAACGGUGGUUCAGUGGUGGAAUGCUCGCCUGCUUCGCGGGCGGCCCGGUUCGAUUUCCCGUCGAUGUA
Molecule: transfer RNA, 70 nt
Filed under: Trichonephila inaurata madagascariensis
Lineage: Eukaryota; Metazoa; Arthropoda; Arachnida; Araneae; Nephilidae
Description: tRNA-Ser
Source: RNAcentral